AAACACAAACGCCUCCAGCUUCAGGCUCAGGGUCUGGAGGAAAGUUCUGCUCUUCCUCUGGUUCUACCACGAUCUCACGUGGGUAUAAUGCAAAGUGUAAAAGGCCACUAAAACACAUACCGCAUGUAAUCGUGAAGUAAAGAGAAAAAGAGGCCAACUAAUUACAGACCAGCACACACUCACAUAUGUGCACAUCUACACUCCUGUUCUUCCUUUCAUGGGCACCUUUCGCUGGAUCCCCGGUCCGAGACGGGUGAGGUGACUCAGACCUUCACGGUGGCAGAUCUGAUCCUGCGGUCAUGUCGUCCUUCUAGAUGGACCAAGGUAUUUCUUCCACUAGGCCCUCCAGGCACACAACGCUUUGAGCCUACAACCCCUCCAAGCGUCUUUGGACGUGAUUGAGAUUCGAAAGGAAUAUUGGUCACAAAAAGAGACAGAGGCGGCGGGACCUCAAAUGAAUGAUGAUGCCAAAAGCGACAUGGUGAAACGCUCUUCAGAAACGUAAUAGUGUGGCUGUCACUAGCCAUAUGACACCACCAGCAGGUCUGAGCUGUCAUCGGACAUGGGGAUGGCAUUGUCAGGAAAAGUGUGGAUGACCUGACUUACGACCCUACCACAGUGUCUCCGCGCCCCUGAUUCUCCACGUCCUUGAAGACACUCGGUCCCAUCAGACCUCUUCAUCUUUGCACAUCUGGGCACUGGACCAGGACGGGAAGCAUCAGGAGGCCUGAGAAUGAAAGUCAUGAACUUUCCUGCUUCCCUGGGUACGAUGGAGGCUUGGAGUCCAAUUUGAUUGAGGAGGAAGAGCGAGACGGAUGCUCCACUGCACCUGCGUGUGUGGGCUCACGGACCCAUUCCUGGGGACCACCAGGGGGAGGCGGAAAAACGCUGAGUUGAAUUUUUGGCACGCGGCCCAGCCAGGCUUUCUUAUGUAACAAUCGCCUGAGCUAGUUAGUAUGAGAACUUUUGAAAUAAAAGCUAAGAGUGGCCAAAACAAAUAUGUGGCCAGAUUAAAGCCAGCUUGGCCAAUGUUUCUCUAACAUUCCUGCUUUAUAAACAUAGAAAACAGUAAGAAAAGAGAAGGUUGUG
Long non-coding RNA from Prionailurus viverrinus (fishing cat), 1089 nucleotides. RefSeq lists it as uncharacterized. NCBI's taxonomy places the organism in Eukaryota, Metazoa, Chordata, Mammalia, Carnivora, Felidae. The transcript is spliced from 5 exons. The record is from RefSeq and is a predicted model, not a curated record.